This 253-nucleotide ribosomal RNA is filed under the name uncultured bacterium. Its description in RNAcentral is "partial 16S ribosomal RNA". It matches the Rfam family "Bacterial small subunit ribosomal RNA", at positions 524 to 776 of the family's 1533-position model. The record is from RNAcentral.
UACGAAGGGGGCUAGCGUUGUUCGGAAUUACUGGGUGUAAAGCGCGCGCAGGCGGCUAUCCAAGUCAGUGGUGAAAGCCCGGAGCUCAACUCCGGAACUGCCAUUGAAACUGUUUAGCUUGAGGAUGAGAGAGGUGAGUGGAAUUCCCAGUGUAGAGGUGAAAUUCGUAGAUAUUGGGAAGAACACCGGUGGCGAAGGCGGCUCACUGGCUCAUUACUGACGCUCAGGCGCGAUAGCGUGGGGAGCAAACAGG